RNAcentral lists this ribosomal RNA (252 nucleotides) under uncultured bacterium. Its description in RNAcentral is "partial 16S ribosomal RNA". It matches the Rfam family "Bacterial small subunit ribosomal RNA", at positions 524 to 776 of the family's 1533-position model. The record is from RNAcentral.
UACGAAGGGGGCUAGCGUUGCUCGGAAUUACUGGGCGUAAAGCGCGCGUAGGCGCCACGCAAGUCGGGUGUGAAAUCCCGGAGCUCAACUCCGGAACUGCACUCGAAACUGCGCGGCUUGAGGUAGGUAGGGGAGAUCGGAAUUCCUGGUGUAGCGGUGGAAUGCGUAGAUAUCAGGAGGAACACCGGUGGCGAAGGCGGAUCUCUGGGCCUUACCUGACGCUGAGACGCGAAAGCUAGGGGAGCGAACAGG